CGGAGAUAAUGGAAGUAACAUGGCCACCACAGUCGUAACACUGUUAUUAAUAACAAUGAAAUCCAGUGUAGAGUCCAAGGAGGGCAAUCCCUAUGCCCUCCUGCAAAUCUGCUGAUUGAAUCUGGGGAAGCCAAUCACCAUUGCUCUGGAUACUUGAAGAGACGGACAUUAGGGUUGCAUACUCUGUGAGCUGCGUUGAUUGACGUCAUGUGCUCUAGUACUAAACAAUUCAUUGACACACACAUUUCAGUAAACGGGAAAAAGAUGUGGAUAAGAGUGCAGGAUGCACUACAGCCUAGGUCAUUUCUUGACUGUGUUUAAUUUUAUGCUAACUCUUUAGUCAACUGGAAAACAUAGAGAAUUUGCCUUGAUUCAUUCUCCUUCUUAUAUCUGGAUAGGCAAAUAUUACCACCAUCAACAUGAUAAUAUUAUGAAUGAUAACUUAAGCCAUUCAUUGAGAACUCACUCUGUGCCACAUGCUGUUCUAAGUCUUUUCUGUGGAUGGAUCAGUUUAACUUUAACAAAACCCCUGUGAAGUAGGUGAAUGUCAUUAUCCCCAUUUUUCCAAUUAAGGAACUAGGGUUUAUAAAAGUUAUGAAAUGUGCUUAUGGUCAAGCAGAGCCUGGGUCCUGGGCCACUAUGUGUGUUGCCCUACUGAGUACAUGUGUUGAGGUGGGUAUAGAGAUGAAGUAUAUCAAGCCUCUGCCCACGAAGGUAAGUGGAAGGCAGCAGACAUAAAUAGUGAGGUGCAAUUCAAAGCAGGAUGGUAUGAGGAUCACAAGAGACACCGAAACAAAGGAAAACAGAAUGGAGAUGUUCAGGCUCUUGCUGACCCUGUAGUCAGAAGUCACACAUGCUUCAACAAAGCUGGCAUCAUUCAAAACAGAUGGCCUGCUGGGAGUGGCACAGCUUGGAUUUCAUCUUGUCAGAUCCUGGAAUUUCAGCACUGACAAGUGUAUUCCUAUCCUGUUCCUGUGGAGUGUUUUCCAUAGUCUUGGCUGCUGCCUUUCUUCAUGGAGAUGAGGGCUAGCUGUGCCCCAAAGAUGAGGAGCGUCCCCACCACCAGCUCUGCUUGCUGGCAUGUUCACGUCACAUCGCCUUCAAUAUCUACCUUCUGCUGCAGGUUUUACACCACCAUUUCAAUCUUGAACAGGUGAAUUAACCAACUUUUAUAUGAAGCAUCCACCACACAAACCUGCUCUAUGUUUUCACUUAAGUCUCACCAAAAUAUUCUGAUGCCUUUCUCAUCUUGAAGAGCAAGACAGCAUGGUAGUUGUGAAAACAGAUUCCAUCAUAAAACAAACCAAUAAACAAACAAAAAAGACCUAGAUUUGGAUUCUG
Molecule: long non-coding RNA, 1341 nt
Filed under: Felis catus (domestic cat)
Lineage: Eukaryota; Metazoa; Chordata; Mammalia; Carnivora; Felidae
Description: lncRNA (ENSFCAG00000051995.1)
Source: RNAcentral